CCAGCACGAUCUUGCUUGUCUGCCUUCCCAAACACAUUUAGUGCAAAUCCUUCCAGAUGCAAAUUGUCUUCAGGUCCCAACUUCAGCGACUUCUUAUCCUUUUCAAGUUGAUUCAUAAGGGAAAUAAAGAGAGAAUUGGUGGUCUUGGUGCGCUCGUUCUGUGGAAUCUUUAACCCUUUCUCCAUCGCAUAUAAUCGACAGUAGUAAGCGACCAAAGGAUCGUGUUUUUGCAGCUCGUCGGCUCGUUGUAGGUACGGCAACAGCAGUUUCGCGGGCUCGUUCUCGCUGGACAUGGCUUUGCUUGAUAGAUCUACUUUAGCUUCUUUCCUCUUCUUUUCUUUUCUUUUUUACACAGAAA
RNAcentral lists this unclassified non-coding RNA (358 nucleotides) under Hevea brasiliensis (rubber tree). Lineage: Eukaryota; Viridiplantae; Streptophyta; Magnoliopsida; Malpighiales; Euphorbiaceae. The record is from RNAcentral.